AACGAACGCUGGCGGCAGGCUUAACACAUGCAAGUCGAGCGCCCCGCAAGGGGAGCGGCAGACGGGUGAGUAACGCGUGGGAAUCUACCGUGCCCUACGGAAUAGCUCCGGGAAACUGGAAUUAAUACCGUAUACGCCCUACGGGGGAAAGAUUUAUCGGGGUAUGAUGAGCCCGCGUUGGAUUAGCUAGUUGGUGGGGUAAAGGCCUACCAAGGCGACGAUCCAUAGCUGGUCUGAGAGGAUGAUCAGCCACAUUGGGACUGAGACACGGCCCAAACUCCUACGGGAGGCAGCAGUGAGGAAUAUUGGACAAUGGGCGCAAGCCUGAUCCAGCCAUGCCGCGUGAGUGAUGAAGGUCUUAGGAUUGUAAAGCUCUUUCACCGGUGAAGAUAAUGACGGUAACCGGAGAAGAGGCCCCGGCUAACUUCGUGCCAGCCGCCGCAGUAA
RNAcentral lists this ribosomal RNA (447 nucleotides) under uncultured bacterium. Its description in RNAcentral is "partial 16S ribosomal RNA". It matches the Rfam family "Bacterial small subunit ribosomal RNA", at positions 29 to 523 of the family's 1533-position model. The record is from RNAcentral.